GUGGAUUAGAUACCCUAGUAGUCCACGCUGUAAACGAUGUCAACUAGCUGUUGGAUAUAUGAAUAUAUUUAGUGGCGCAGCAAACGCGAUAAGUUGACCGCCUGGGGAGUACGGUCGCAAGAUUAAAACUCAAAGGAAUUGACGGGGGCCCGCACAAGCGGUGGAGCAUGUGGUUUAAUUCGAUGCAACGCGAAGAACCUUACCUACCCUUGACAUACAGUGGAGCUUGCAGAGAUGCGAGUGUGCCUUCGGGAACACUGAUACAGGUGCUGCAUGGUCGUCGACAACU
This 289-nucleotide ribosomal RNA is filed under the name uncultured bacterium. RNAcentral's name for it is "partial 16S ribosomal RNA". It matches the Rfam family "Bacterial small subunit ribosomal RNA", at positions 773 to 1060 of the family's 1533-position model. The record is from RNAcentral.